Molecule: RNA transcript, 4923 nt
Organism: Doryrhamphus excisus (bluestripe pipefish)
Lineage: Eukaryota; Metazoa; Chordata; Actinopteri; Syngnathiformes; Syngnathidae
Gene: dnajc5ga
Gene name: DnaJ (Hsp40) homolog, subfamily C, member 5 gamma a
Source: RefSeq, a predicted model, not a curated record
AACUUGUGCCAUUAAACGCGUCACGGUGUGCUCGUCAUUCCCUGGAAAGAGAGCAGGCUGUGAUUACAUCGGCGCCCCUCCGCUAGCGGCGCCGCUGCAGGAUCCCCGCACACCGAGCCCAUGACCGGAGGUCCGGACCGUGAACCAGAUGCCUCUAUGAUCCAGUCCGCAUCCCGGCGAGACAGACAGCGUUCAGUUAGCAUCGGGUAAGACAAGCCUGCCGUAGCUAGCAUGAGGCUAACCGGCUCAGGCUAACGCUGAUUAGGCCGGAUUCCAUUCAAAAAAUCGGACACGUUAGAGCGUAAUGUGCUGGUAACAAUCCAACAAAGAAGCCGUUACUUAUUUGCCUUUUUCCCCCGGGUGUUGUUCUAAUCUCGUUGAAUUACGGGGCUGCACUUCAUUGUUUCACAUUUGUAUAAAACUGAUACUUUGUGAGAAUGCGUUGAGACAUUGUUCUUGAGAUUAGUGCCGAAUGAAUGACCUUGUUACUGCUGAUUCUUUUACCGCUUGUAUGUGGAUGAAACCCGCAAUGUUUUCCCUCAAAAGGACAACAAGUGUUAAAUCCACCAAAUACCGAAUGCAGUUACGCAGCACGGCACUUUUGCUGCAGAUUCCAGCUGCUUGGUGGUAGCACAUGAAAUACUGGCUUUUGUUUCAGAUGGAUUUCUUCAUGCACUAUUGACUGUCAAGUGGAAAGAUAGAAAGUAGGUAAUUGUCCUGGUGAGCUGAGAUUAACAUUAGCUAAAGGAUUAGGUCUAGCCAGGCAAGGACAAGGGCGGUAUCGAUUAGCUGUGGCACCAGAGAAAGCUAGGGACGCCGAAUAUGGUAAAAAAAAAAAAAAGAGGCCGUCACUUUGUAAGAUUCCCAAUCAAUACAUUAGGAUUCAUCAUUUAGUCUACAGAUUAUGACACAAUGGAGGCGACCCUGUGAACUGUGCCCUGAUUGUAGCCUCACAGGCGCGUGUAGGCUGCCCCGCCCCCUUGACUGCUGUCAUUAGCCUCACGGCCACUGGACACUUUAUUAGGAACACCAGCACCAUCUACAGCAGGGGUCGGGAACCUUUUUGGCUACAAGAGCCAUGAAGACCGGAUAUUUUAAAAUGUAUAUCUGUGAGAGCCAUAUACAUUUUUUUAAACAUUGAAUGCAAUAAAAUGUGUGCAUUUUUAUGUAAGACCAACAGUUUUAGAUAUAAUGGGCUCUAAUUACGUAGACCAGGCACACUACCCCACGCCAAGGGGGUGUGGCCAGCACACUUUUGUGAGCAGCGCAAUACUUGCUGCCAUUAAUGCAACUUCUGCUGCUGCAUGUUUUGCACCAUACUCAGUAUAUUUCAUUCUUUUGGCCAUCUUUGCCAGAAGGCUUGGUUCUGCAGCUUUAGCUAGGUGACUAUUUGACUAAAGGAGGAAAGUUUACAUUUACAUCUUAAUGACCGAGGUACAGUACCGCAUUACCCAGUAAUAAUCGAGUUUUGGUGUUUGACCUGGAAAAUAUCAUCAGGAAAGAUAGAUAUGGUCGGCCGUAUUGCAGUAGAAAAUAGAUGGACGGAUUAAAAUGCAUAAGAAAGUUGUAGAUUUUUAAUAUUUUUAACAGUGAUUUCUGUGAUGGUUUACUUUAAAAUGUUAGCAAACAUACAUUUUUAUUGUGGUAAAUGCUUGAGAGCCAGAUACAGUCAUCAAAAGAGCCCUACCUGGCUCCCGAGCCAUAGGUUCCCUACCUCUGAUCUACAGCAUAGGGUCAAAACAAUAGAAACGGCUGCCAGUCUGAUACAGUAAUAAUAAUAAUAAUAAUAAUUCAUGCUCAAUUGCAAUUGUCUUUGUCUGCCAGGAUGCGAUAUCAUGUACAUCCAUAACAAGGAAUGUUUGAUCAUUUCCUGGCAGAUUCCUAAAAGAAGGCUUAGGUCUAAAAAUGUUUGGUCGGAUGCUUUGUGCUUUUCAGCAUUUGAAGCGCAGCUAAACUUAGCCAGCAACAUUCAAAGGACGGCACUGCGCAAUGUCUGUCUCAUCCGUGCACGUAAUAAUAAUCAUAAUAAUAAUAAUAUGAGAGGACUUAUGAAUAGUGGGUGCAUUAUAGUCAUGGCUUUACCUGGGGUAGCAAUUCUUGCUGAAAGAGAAAGAGUCCAUCUUAUUUGAAUUGAGUCUUUUUAAAAAUGUGUUAUUAAAUGUAUUUAAAAGCUCUUAACAUUCCAAUUGCAAUGUAAAAUAUUCCAGAUAAAUUAAUUGCUUUCAUAUAUUGUACUCUCAUUAUUUUGCCAUAUCAUUCAUGAAAAAUGGUCUCCAAAUAGAAUCAAUUAUUGUCAAUAUUUUGUAUGCCAGUUAUUAUCCAGCAAAGGCUGUCGUCAUGACAAUCGUAGGCGAUUAAAAUGCCGGCCUUCCUGAUCUUCUCUCUGCGGGGUUUUGUAUUUAAUGACUUUCACAUGCUGUGCCCUGGCGAUGGCACCCGGCGGGACCCUCCUCCAAAGGAGGGAAGCCUGGUAUUCCCUGGUAUUCCGUGUUAUUCCCGGCAUGCUGCUCACUUAGCCAAGCACGGCUGACACGCCAUCAGGAUGGUGUGAAAUAUCGUGGUGAUGAUGAAGAUCACAUGACACGAUGGCGGCGUGCAUGUCGUGUGUUUGCGGCCUUCUGAACGGACUCCGACGGCACCCGAGUAAUCUGCGAGGUCAGCAAAAUGUAAUCUGCUUUGGUCGACGCCCCGGCUGGCGCGGCGCGGUGCGUGUGUGAGACUCCCUGGUCCCGCAGUGUCGUUGUGUUGAAAGUGAUUGUGGCGUCAAUGGCUGAUCUCUUAGUUGUCUUUGGUGGCAUCUGCGUGUGAAAGGAGAAGAGGUGAGCCAUGGCUGACCCCAACCCAAACCCCAACGCCAACCCCAACCCCUCCCGGCCCCAGAGGAAGAUGUCCACGGCCGGUGAGAGCGUCUACAAGGUAUUAGGACUGGAGAAAGGAGCCUCGGCCGAGGACAUCAAGAAAGCCUACAGGAAGUUGGCGUUGAAGUACCACCCGGACAAGAACCCCGACAACCCGGAGGCGGCGGAGAAGUUCAAGGAGAUCAACAACGCCAACUCCAUCCUCAACGAUGAGACCAAGAGGAAGAUCUACGACGAGUACGGCUCCAUGGGCCUUUACGUGUCCGAGCAGUUUGGGGAGGAGAGCGUCAAGUACUACUUCCUCAUGUCCAAAUGGUGGUUUAAGACGCUGGUCCUGUGCUGCACGCUCUUCAGCUGCUGUUGCUGCUGCUGCUGCUGCUGCUUCUGCUGCGGGAAGUGCAAGCCCCCCGACGACGAGGAAAGCUACCACUAUGUGGAUCCCGAGGAUCUGGAGGCCCAGAUCAAGGCGGAGCAGCAGGACAGCGGUCCCAGAGUAGUCAUAAGCCAGCCCGCAUCUUGCGGGGGCGGAGAGACCCCAGAGGGCAAAAGCCAGCCCAUCCCCCUGCCCAUGCCGUCGCCCCACCCCCAGUCGCCACCCUCGACCCGUCCAUCUGAGGGGCAGGAGAAAGGAGAGAGCUUGCCCGAGUCGAAAUGACUCGGAGAUGAUACUGGACGUCACUCAGCCACAAGAGCAGGCAGCUCUCCUCAUUAGAAGCCCCGCCCCCUUCAUGAUCCAGCCACAUUAGAGUGCCAGAGAUGAACCAGCCCAAAACCACCAGCCGGCUAAGGCCCGCCAUCCCGCUUCCCGACCCGCAGGAGAAGUCCAAAGCAGGGAAGCUUUGGCGCUUCCUCCCGAGAACGGACGUCCUUGCUGUGGAUUUCUUCCUCCAUCUGGUCUCCGCAGGCAGGCUUGGCUGUGAGGCCAGAAAGCAUGUUUUUGUCAGGAUGCAUGCCCUCCAGUCCCACGCAGACUUGCCAACUGCUCCCCAACGACCCCCGUCGUCUUGUGCCACUAACUAGCAACACAAAGCCAGCAGCUUCUGUGAACCACUACGGCGACCGACGGAACAUUGUAGCGCACUUGGACGGAUCCCAGCCCCUCAGAGGCAAUGCUGUCCUCUGCGUACAGUCCACGUGGUCUGCAGCCCAUUCCUGCCCACAUUCAGCUCAAGCAGGAAAAAUGUGAGUCUAUCCCACCCAUCCGAUGUUGACUGAAGCAGGGAGGCGUUUCUUCCUCAGCUUUUAAAGGAAGUGUUGUGCCUUGGGGGGGAAAAGUGCAGCGUGACACUUUUGUCGUCACAGCGUCUGUGGCAUUGAGUCGUGGGGGGCAAGGACAUCGUCUAAUUUGCAUAAUUGGCCAUGACGCAAAACUCUGGCCAGAGUGGAGAUUUUUUUUAAACCCGACUUUGUGUGUACGCGUGCGGAUGGGUAAAACUGAGCUUUUUUUGUUUGUAUCGUAAGAAAUGUGACUAUCUCGUGUUUUUGACUUACAGCUGUUGGUUCAUUUUGCGUGCGUGCGCCUUAUAACAGGCAAGCAAACAUUCAUGUUUCCUGGGCUCCGUGUAACGCGCGUUGAUUUUCAAGAUAAUGUACACGUCAUUGUACAGCCGACGUAUCACUACAGACGCAUGAUGAUGCGCCACCUAUAGGUGGUAUGAGGGAUGCGAAGAAGCAGCAUUUUAAUGCCAUCUACUGGGGACUUGGAAGCAGGCGCUCCAGACAGCCCCAUUAUAAUGUGAAUGGUGUGUAGCGCUAAAUCAAAGUGGGGAAACAUACGCUGAGAAGAAAGCCACUCAGACUCCUUUGCCGCAUUCCAUUUCCUCCCCCGUUAGCAUGUGGAGAGGAGCGUCCUCAUUUUGCCAACGGUACGCCCUUCCUGCAAAGGUGUCAAUUCUAUGACUGGUCCAGUUGGUGUAAACACUCACUAUGCAAAUUGAUCAUUUAUUUGAAUUAAAGCCGCUUUUUUUACAUAUCAUUUCACACCAUUGUAACUUGUGAAUACAAAAAAAAUAAAUGUGAAGGUUACUUUUGUUUUGUCCAUAGUGUAAUGUUUGUUUGUUUUUUU